Molecule: ribosomal RNA, 497 nt
Filed under: uncultured bacterium
Lineage: Bacteria
Description: partial 16S ribosomal RNA
Rfam family: Bacterial small subunit ribosomal RNA
Source: RNAcentral
GACGAACGCUGGCGGCGUGCCUAAUACAUGCAAGUUGAGCGCUGAAGGUUGGUACUUGUACCAACUGGAUGAGCAGCGAACGGGUGAGUAACGCGUGGGGAAUCUGCCUUUGAGCGGGGGACAACAUUUGGAAACGAAUGCUAAUACCGCAUAAAAACUUUAAACACAAGUUUUAAGUUUGAAAGAUGCAAUUGCAUCACUCAAAGAUGAUCCCGCGUUGUAUUAGCUAGUUGGUGAGGUAAAGGCUCACCAAGGCGAUGAUACAUAGCCGACCUGAGAGGGUGAUCGGCCACAUUGGGACUGAGACACGGCCCAAACUCCUACGGGAGGCAGCAGUAGGGAAUCUUCGGCAAUGGACGAAAGUCUGACCGAGCAACGCCGCGUGAGUGAAGAAGGUUUUCGGAUCGUAAAAAUCGGUUGGUAGAGAAGAACGUUGGUGAGAGUGGAAAGCUCAUCAAGUGACGGUAACUACCCAGAAAGGGACGGCUAACUACGUG